UCACCAGUCUAGUGGGCCAAUGUAAUGUCUGGAGGGCAGUCACCAGUCUAGUGGGUCAAUGUAAUGUCUGGGGGCAGUCACCAGUCUAGUGGGUCAAUGUAAUGUCUGGAGGGCAGUCACCAGUCUAGUGGGUCAAUGUAAUGUCUGGAGGGCAGUCACCAGUCUAGUGGGUCAAUGUAAUGUCUGGAGGGCAGUCACCAGUCUAGUGGGUCAAUGUAAUGUCUGGAGGGCAGUCACCAGUCUAGUGGGUCAAUGUAAUGUCUGGAGGGCAGUCACCAGUCUAGUGGGUCAAUGUAAUGUCUGGAGGGCAGUCACCAGUCUAGUGGGUCAAUGUAAUGUCUGGAGGGCAGUCACCGGUCUAGUGGGCCAAUGUAAUGUCUGGAGUCUGGAGGACAGUCACCAGUCUAGUGGGCCAAUGUAAUGUCUGGAGGGCAGUCACCAGUCUAGUGGGUCAAUGUAAUGUCUGGGGGCAGUCACCAGUCUAGUGGGUCAAUGUAAUGUCUGGAGGGCAGUCACCAGUCUAGUGGGUCAAUGUAAUGUCUGGAGGGCAGUCACCAGUCUAGUGGGUCAAUGUAAUGUCUGGAGGGCAGUCACCGGUCUAGUGGGCCAAUGUAAUGUCUGGAGUCUGGAGGACAGUCACCAGUCUAGUGGGCCAAUGUAAUGUCUGGAGGGCAGUCACCAGUCUAGUGGGUCAAUGUAAUGUCUGGGGGCAGUCACCAGUCUAGUGGGUCAAUGUAAUGUCUGGAGGGCAGUCACCAGUCUAGUGGGUCAAUGUAAUGUCUGGAGGGCAGUCACCAGUCUAGUGGGUCAAUGUAAUGUCUGGAGGGCAGUCAACAGUCUAGUGGGUAAAUGUAAUGUCUGGAGGGCAGUCACCGGUCUAGUGGGCCAAUGUAAUGUCUGGAGGGCAGUCACCAGUCUAGUGGGUCAAUGUAAUGUCUGGAGGGCAGUCACCAGUCUCGUGGGUCAAUGUAAUGUCUGGAGGGCAGUCACCAGUCUAGUGGGUCAAUGUAAUGUCUGGAGUCUGGAGGGCAGUCAUAAGUCUAGUGGGCCAAUGUAAUGUCUGGAGGGCAGUCACCAGUCUAGUGGGUCAAUGUAAUGUCUGGAGGGCAGUCACCAGUCUAGUGGGUCAAUGUAUUGUCUGGAGGGCAGUCACCAGUCUAGUGGGUCAAUGUAAUGUCUGGAGGGCAGUCACCAGUCUAGUGGGUCAAUGUAAUGUCUGGAGGGCAGUCACCAGUCUAGUGGGUCAAUGUAAUGUCUGGAGGGCAGUCACCAGUCUAGUGGGUCAAUGUAAUGUCUGGAGGGCAGUCACCGGUCUAGUGGGCCAAUGUAAUGUCUGGAGUCUGGAGGACAGUCACCAGUCUAGUGGGUCAAUGUAUUGUCUGGAGGGCAGUCACCAGUCUAGUGGGUCCAUGUAAUGUCUGGAGUCUGGAGGACAGUCACCAGUCUAGUGGGUCAAUGUAAUGGCUGGAGGGCAGUCACCAGUUCAGUGGGCCAAUGUAAUGUCUGGAGGGCAGUCACCAGUCUAGUGGGUCAAUGUAAUGUCUGGAGGGCAGUCACCAGUCUAGUGGGUCAAUGUAAUGUCUGGAGGGCAUUCACCAGUCUAGUGGGUCAAUGUAAUGUCUGGAGGGCAGUCACCAGUCUAGUGGGUCAAUGUAUUGUCUGGAGGGCAGUCACCAGUCUAGUGGGUCAAUGUAAUGUCUGGAGGGCAGUCACCAGUCUAGUGGGUCAAUGUAAUGUCUGGAGGGCAGUCACCAGUCUAGUGGGUCAAUGUAAUGUCUGGAGGGCAGUCACCAGUCUAGUGUGUCAAUGUAAUGUCUGGAGGGCAGUCACCGGUCUAGUGGGCCAAUGUAAUGUCUGGAGGGCAGUCACCAGUCUAGUGGGUCAAUGUAAUGUCUGGAGGGCAGUCACCAGUCUAGUGGGUCAAUGUAAUGUCUGGAGGGCAGUCACCAGUCUAGUGGGCCAAUGUAAUGUCUGGAGGACAGUCACCAGUCGAGUGGGUCAAUGUAAUGUCUGGAGGGCAGUCAACAGUCUAGUGGGUAAAUGUAAUGUCUGGAGGGCAGUCACCGGUCUAGUGGGCCAAUGUAAUGUCUGGAGGGCAGUCACCAGUCUAGUGGGUCAAUGUAAUGUCUGGAGGGCAGUCACCAGUCUCGUGGGUCAAUGUAAUGUCUGGAGGGCAGUCACCAGUCUAGUGGGUCAAUGUAAUGUCUGGAGUCUGGAGGGCAGUCACAAGUCUAGUGGGCCAAUGUAAUGUCUGGAGGGCAGUCACCAGUCUAGUGGGUCAAUGUAAUGUCUGGAGGGCAGUCACCAGUCUAGUGGGUCAAUGUAAUGUCUGGAGGGCAGUCACCAGUCUAGUGGGCCAAUGUAAUGUCUGGAGGGCAGUCACCAGUCUAGUGGGCCAAUGUAAUGUCUGGAGGACAGUCACCAGUCUAGUGGGCCAAUGUAAUGUCUGGAGGGCAGUCACCAGUCUAGUGGGUCAAUGUAAUGUCUGGAGGGCAGUCACAAGUCUAGUGGGUCAAUGUAAUGUCUGGAGGGCAUUCACCAGUCUAGUGGGUCAAUGUAAUGUCUGGAGGGCAGUCACAAGUCUAGUGGGUCAAUGUAAUGUCUGGAGUCUGGAGGGCUACUAGACUGGACAUAGUGUGCAUCAGUUUAAAAGUGUUGUCAUCCAGCUAACACUUUUUUGAGAGCAGAUCCCUCUGGUGUGGGUAGAAUCCUCUCUCUAAUCUCUCUGGUGUAGGUAGAAUCCUCUCUCUAAUCUCUCUGGUGUAGGUAGAAUCCUCUCUCUAAUCUCUCUGGUGUAGAUAGAAUCCUCUCUCUAAUCUCUCUGGUGUAGGUAGAAUGCUCUCUCUAAUCCCUCUGGUGUAGGUAGAAUCCUCUCUCUAAUCUCUCUGGUGUAGGUAGAAUCCUCUCUCUCUGGUGUAGGUAGAAUACUCUCUCUAAUCUCUCUGGUGUAGGUAGAAUACUCUCUCAGUGUAGGUAGAAUCCUCUCUCUCUGGUGUAGGUAGAAUCCUCUCUCUAAUCUCUCUGGUGUGGGUAGAAUCCUCUCUAAUCUCUCUGGUGUAGGUAGAAUACUCUCUCUAAUCUCUCUGGUGUAGGUAGAAUACUCUCUCUAAUCUCUCCGGUGUAGGUAGAAUACUCUCUCUAAUCUCUCCGGUGUAGGUAGAAUACUCUCUCUAAUCUCUCUGGUGUAGGUAGAAUCCUCUCUCUAAUCUCUCUGGUGUAGGUAGAAUCCUCUCUCUAAUCUCUCUGGUGUAGGUAGAAUCCUCUCUCUAAUCUCUCUGGUGUAGAUAGAAUCCUCUCUCUAAUCUCUCUGGUGUAGGUAGAAUACUCUCUCUAAUCUCUCUGGUGUAGGUAGAAUCCUCUCUCUAAUCUCUCUGGUGUAGGUAGAAUCCUCUCUCUCUGGUGUAGGUAGAAUACUCUCUCUAAUCUCUCUGGUGUAGGUAGAAUACUCUCUCAGUGUAGGUAGAAUCCUCUCUCUGGUGUAGGUAGAAUCCUCUCUCUGGUGUAGGUAGAAUCCUCUCUCUAAUCUCUCUGGUGUAGGUAGAAUCCUCUCUCUCUGGUGUAGGUAGAAUACUCUCUCUAAUCUCUCUGGUGUAGGUAGAAUACUCUCUCAGUGUAGGUAGAAUCCUCUCUCUCUGGUGUAGGUAGAAUCCUCUCUCUAAUCUCUCUGGUGUGGGUAGAAUCCUCUCUAAUCUCUCUGGUGUAGGUAGAAUACUCUCUCUAAUCUCUCUGGUGUAGGUAGAAUACUCUCUCUAAUCUCUCCGGUGUAGGUAGAAUACUCUCUCUAAUCUCUCCGGUGUAGGUAGAAUACUCUCUCUAAUCUCUCUGGUGUAGGUAGAAUCCUCUCUCUAAUCUCUCUGGUGUAGGUAGAAUCCUCUCUCUAAUCUCUCUGGUGUAGGUAGAAUCCUCUCUCUAAUCUCUCUGGUGUAGGUAGAAUCCUCUCUCUCUGGUGUAGGUAGAAUACUCUCUCAGUGUAGGUAGAAUCCUCUCUCUCUGGUGUAGGUAGAAUCCUCUCUCUAAUCUCUCUGGUGUAGGUAGAAUACUCUCUCUCUCUGGUAUAGGUAGAAUCCUCUCUCUAAUCUCUCUGGUGUAGGUAGAAUACUCUCUCUCUGGUGUAGGUAGAAUCCUCUCUCUGGUGUAGGUAGAAUCCUCUCUCUAAUCUCUCUGGUGUAGGUAGAAUCCUCUCUCUCUGGUGUAGGUAGAAUACUCUCUCUAAUCUCUCUGGUGUAGGUAGAAUACUCUCUCAGUGUAGGUAGAAUCCUCUCUCUGGUGUAGGUAGAAUCCUCUCUCUGGUGUAGGUAGAAUCCUCUCUCUAAUCUCUCUGGUGUAGGUAGAAUACUCUCUCUCUCUGGUGUAGGUAGAAUCCUCUCUCUCUGGUGUAGGUAGAAUACUCUCUCUAAUCUCUCUGGUGUAGGUAGAAUCCUCUCUCUAAUCUCUCUGGUGUAGGUAGAAUCCUCUCUCUAAUCUCUCUGGUGUAGGUAGAAUCCUCUCUCUAAUCUCUCCGGUGUAGGUAGAAUACUCUCUCUAAUCUCUCUGGUGUAGGUAUAAUACUCUCUCUAAUCUCUCUGGUGUAGGUAGAAUACUCUCUCUAAUCUCUCUGGUGUAGGUAGAAUCCUCUCUCUAAUCUCUCUGGUGUAGGUAGAAUCCUCUCUCUCUGGUGUAGGUAGAAUACUCUCUCUAAUCUCUCUGGUGUAGGUAGAAUACUCUCUCAGUGUAGGUAGAAUCCUCUCUCUCUGGUGUAGGUAGAAUCCUCUCUCUAAUCUCUCUGGUGUGGGUAGAAUCCUCUCUAAUCUCUCUGGUGUAGGUAGAAUACUCUCUCUAAUCUCUCUGGUGUAGGUAGAAUACUCUCUCAGUGUAGGUAGAAUCCUCUCUCUCUGGUGUAGGUAGAAUCCUCUCUCUAAUCUCUCUGGUGUGGGUAGAAUCCUCUCUAAUCUCUCUGGUGUAGGUAGAAUACUCUCUCUAAUCUCUCUGGUGUAGGUAGAAUACUCUCUCUAAUCUCUCCGGUGUAGGUAGAAUACUCUCUCUAAUCUCUCCGGUGUAGGUAGAAUACUCUCUCUAAUCUCUCUGGUGUAGGUAGAAUCCUCUCUCUAAUCUCUCUGGUGUAGGUAGAAUCCUCUCUCUCUGGUGUAGGUAGAAUACUCUCUCUAAUCUCUCUGGUGUAGGUAGAAUACUCUCUCAGUGUAGGUAGAAUCCUCUCUCUCUGGUGUAGGUAGAAUCCUCUCUCUAAUCUCUCUGGUGUAGGUAGAAUACUCUCUCUCUCUGGUGUAGGUAGAAGCCUCUCUCUGGUGUAGGUAGAAUCCUCUCUCUAAUCUCUCUGGUGUAGGUAGAAUCCUCUCUCUCUGGUGUAGGUAGAAUACUCUCUCUAAUCUCUCUGGUGUAGGUAGAAUACUCUCUCAGUGUAGGUAGAAUCCUCUCUCUGGUGUAGGUAGAAUCCUCUCUCUGGUGUAGGUAGAAUCCUCUCUCUAAUCUCUCUGGUGUAGGUAGAAUACUCUCUCUCUCUGGUGUAGGUAGAAUCCUCUCUCUCUGGUGUAGGUAGAAUACUCUCUCUAAUCUCUCUGGUGUGGGUAGAAUCCUCUCUAAUCUCUCUGGUGUAGGUAGAAUACUCUCUCUAAUCUCUCUGGUGUAGGUAGAAUACUCUCUCUAAUCUCUCCGGUGUAGGUAGAAUACUCUCUCUAAUCUCUCCGGUGUAGGUAGAAUACUCUCUCUAAUCUCUCUGGUGUAGGUAGAAUCCUCUCUCUAAUCUCUCUGGUGUAGGUAGAAUCCUCUCUCUAAUCUCUCUGGUGUAGGUAGAAUCCUCUCUCUAAUCUCUCCGGUGUAGGUAGAAUCCUCUCUCUAAUCUCUCUGGUGUAGGUAGAAUACUCUCUCUAAUCUCUCUGGUGUAGGUAGAAUCCUCUCUCUAAUCUCUCUGGUGUAGGUAGAAUCCUGUCUCUCUGGUGUAGGUAGAAUACUCUCUCUAAUCUCUCUGGUGUAGGUAGAAUACUCUCUCAGUGUAGGUAGAAUCCUCUCUCUCUGGUGUAGGUAGAAUCCUCUCUCUAAUCUCUCUGGUGUAGGUAGAAUACUCUCUCUCUCUGGUGUAGGUAGAAUCCUCUCUCUGGUGUAGGUAGAAUCCUCUCUCUAAUCUCUCUGGUGUAGGUAGAAUCCUCUCUCUCUGGUGUAGGUAGAAUACUCUCUCUAAUCUCUCUGGUGUAGGUAGAAUACUCUCUCAGUGUAGGUAGAAUACUCUCUCAGUGUAGGUAGAAUCCUCUCUCUGGUGUAGGUAGAAUCCUCUCUCUGGUGUAGGUAGAAUCCUCUCUCUAAUCUCUCUGGUGUAGGUAGAAUACUCUCUCUCUGGUGUAGGUAGAAUACUCUCUCUCUGGUGUAGGUAGAAUACUCUCUCUAAUCUCUCUGGUGUAGGUAGAAUACUCUCUCUAAUCUCUCUGGUGUAGGUAGAAUACUCUCUCUCUGGUGUAGGUAGAAUACUCUCUCUAAUCUCUCCGGUGUAGGUAGAAUCCUCUCUCUAAUCUCUCUGGUGUAGGUAGAAUACUCUCUCUAAUCUCUCCGGUGUAGGUAGAAUUUCUCUCUAAUCUCUCUGGUGUAGGUAGAAUCCUCUCUCUAAUCUCUCUGGUGUAGGUAGAAUCCUCUCUCUAAUCUCUCUGGUGUAGGUAGAAUCCUCUCUCUAAUCUCUCCGGUGUAGGUAGAAUACUCUCUCUAAUCUCUCUGGUGUAGGUAGAAUACUCUCUCUAAUCUCUCUGGUGUAGGUAGAAUCCUCUCUCUAAUCUCUCUGGUGUAGGUAGAAUCCUCUCUCUAAUCUCUCUGGUGUAGGUAGAAUCCUCUCUCUCUGGUGUAGGUAGAAUACUCUCUCUAAUCUCUCUGGUGUAGGUAGAAUACUCUCUCAGUGUAGGUAGAAUCCUCUCUCUCUGGUGUAGGUAGAAUCCUCUCUCUAAUCUCUCUGGUGUAGGUAGAAUACUCUCUCUCUGGUGUAGGUAGAAUCCUCUCUCUUGUGUAGGUAGAAUCCUCUCUCUAAUCUCUCUGGUGUAGGUAGAAUCCUCUCUCUCUGGUGUAGGUAGAAUCCUCUCUCUAAUCUCUCUGGAGUAGGUAGAAUACUCUCUCUCUGGUGUAGGUAGAAUCCUCUCUCUUGUGUAGGUAGAAUCCUCUCUCUAAUCUCUCUGGUGUAGGUAGAAUCCUCUCUCUCUGGUGUAGGUAGAAUACUCUCUCUAAUCUCUCUGGUGUAGGUAGAAUACUCUCUCAGUGUAGGUAGAAUCCUCUCUCUGGUGUAGGUAGAAUCCUCUCUCUAAUCUCUCUGGUGUAGGUAGAAUCCUCUCUCUAAUCUCUCUGGUGUAGGUAGACUAAUCUCUCUAAUCCUCUGGUGUAGGUAGAAUCCUCUCUCUAAUCUCUCUGGUGUAGGUAGAAUACUCUCUCUAAUCUCUCUGGUGUAGGUAGAAUCCUCUCUCUAAUCUCUCUGGUGUAGGUAGAAUCCUCUCUCUAAUCUCUCUGGUGUAGGUAGAAUACUCUCUCUAAUCUCUCUGGUGUAGGUAGAAUCCUCUCUCUAAUCUCUCUGGUGUAGGUAGAAUCCUCUCUCUAAUCUCUCUGGUGUAGGUAGAAUACUCUCUCUAAUCUCUCUGGUGUAGGUAGAAUCCUCUCUCUAAUCUCUCUGGUGUAGGUAGAAUCCUCUCUCUAAUCUCUCUGGUGUAGGUAGAAUACUCUCUCUAAUCUCUCUGGUGUAGGUAGAAUCCUCUCUCUAAUCUCUCUGGUGUAGGUAGAAUCCUCUCUCUAAUCUCUCUGGUGUAGGUAGAAUACUCUCUCUAAUCUCUCUGGUGUAGGUAGAAUACUCUCUCUAAUCUCUCUGGUGUAGGUAGAAUCCUCUCUCUAAUCUCUCAGGUGUAGGUAGAAUCCUCUCUCUCUGGUGUAGGUAGAAUACUCUCUCUAAUCUCUCUGGUGUAGGUAGAAUACUCUCUCAGUGUAGGUAGAAUGCUCUCUCUCUGGUGUAGGUAGAAUCCUCUCUCUAAUCUCUCUGGUGUAGGUAGAAUCCUCUCUCUCUGGUGUAGGUAGAAUACUCUCUCUAAUCUCUCUGGUGUAGGUAGAAUACU
Long non-coding RNA from Oncorhynchus keta (chum salmon), 8063 nucleotides. RefSeq lists it as uncharacterized. NCBI's taxonomy places the organism in Eukaryota, Metazoa, Chordata, Actinopteri, Salmoniformes, Salmonidae. The transcript is spliced from 4 exons. The record is from RefSeq and is a predicted model, not a curated record.